RNAcentral lists this ribosomal RNA (500 nucleotides) under uncultured bacterium. RNAcentral's name for it is "bacterial SSU rRNA". It matches the Rfam family "Bacterial small subunit ribosomal RNA", at positions 28 to 507 of the family's 1533-position model. The record is from RNAcentral.
GACGAACGCUGGCGGCGUGCCUAAUACAUGCAAGUCGAGCGGAAUGAUGAAGAAGCUUGCUUCUUCUGAUUUUAGCGGCGGACGGGUGAGUAACACGUGGGCAACCUACCUUGUAGAUUGGGAUAACUCCGGGAAACCGGGGCUAAUACCGAAUAAUCCAUUUUGCUUCAUGGCGAGAUGUUGAAAGACGGUUUCGGCUGUCACUACAAGAUGGGCCCGCGGCGCAUUAGCUAGUUGGUAGGGUAAUGGCCUACCAAGGCGACGAUGCGUAGCCGACCUGAGAGGGUGAUCGGCCACACUGGGACUGAGACACGGCCCAGACUCCUACGGGAGGCAGCAGUAGGGAAUCUUCCACAAUGGACGAAAGUCUGAUGGGGCAACGCCGCGUGAGUGAAGAAGGUUUUCGGAUCGUAAAACUCUGUUGUAAGGGAAGAACACGUACGAGAGUAACUGCUCGUACCUUGACGGUACCUUAUUAGAAAGCCACGGCUAACUACGUG